Molecule: ribosomal RNA, 235 nt
Filed under: uncultured bacterium
Lineage: Bacteria
Description: partial 16S ribosomal RNA
Rfam family: Bacterial small subunit ribosomal RNA
Source: RNAcentral
AACGAACGCUGGCGGCAGGCUUAACACAUGCAAGUCGAACGGGUGUAGCAAUACAUCAGUGGCAGAUGGGUGAGUAACACGUGGGAACCUUCCUAGGGGUACGGAACAACUCAGGGAAACUUGAGCUAAUACCGUAUACGUCCGUAAGGAGAAAGAUUCAUCGCCCCUAGACGGGCCCGCUCGGAUUAGUAGUGGUGGGUAGCGCCUACCAAGCUACGAUCCGUAGCUGAUCUGA